RNAcentral lists this ribosomal RNA (465 nucleotides) under uncultured Klebsiella sp. RNAcentral describes it as "bacterial SSU rRNA". It matches the Rfam family "Bacterial small subunit ribosomal RNA", at positions 338 to 795 of the family's 1533-position model. The record is from RNAcentral. Lineage: Bacteria; Pseudomonadati; Pseudomonadota; Gammaproteobacteria; Enterobacterales; Enterobacteriaceae.
CCUACGGGGGGCAGCAGUGGGGAAUAUUGCACAAUGGGCGCAAGCCUGAUGCAGCCAUGCCGCGUGUGUGAAGAAGGCCUUCGGGUUGUAAAGCACUUUCAGCGGGGAGGAAGGCGGUGAGGUUAAUAACCUCAUCGAUUGACGUUACCCGCAGAAGAAGCACCGGCUAACUCCGUGCCAGCAGCCGCGGUAGUACGGAGGGUGCAAGCGUUAAUCGGAAUUACUGGGCGUAAAGCGCACGCAGGCGGUCUGUCAAGUCGGAUGUGAAAUCCCCGGGCUCAACCUGGGAACUGCAUUCGAAACUGGCAGGCUAGAGUCUUGUAGAGGGGGGUAGAAUUCCAGGUGUAGCGGUGAAAUGCGUAGAGAUCUGGAGGAAUACCGGUGGCGAAGGCGGCCCCCUGGACAAAGACUGACGCUCAGGUGCGAAAGCGUGGGGAGCAAACAGGAUUAGAUACCCUGGUAGUC